RNAcentral lists this transfer RNA (65 nucleotides) under Schistocephalus solidus. It matches the Rfam family "tRNA". Rfam says of the family: Transfer RNA (tRNA) molecules are approximately 80 nucleotides in length. Their secondary structure includes four short double-helical elements and three loops (D, anti-codon, and T loops). The record is from Rfam by way of RNAcentral. Lineage: Eukaryota; Metazoa; Platyhelminthes; Cestoda; Diphyllobothriidea; Diphyllobothriidae.
GGAGUCUCAGUGCGUAGAGAAUCAGACUUAUAAUCUGAGGGUCCAGGGUUCGAGUCCCUGUUCUG